Molecule: ribosomal RNA, 500 nt
Filed under: uncultured bacterium
Lineage: Bacteria
Description: bacterial SSU rRNA
Rfam family: Bacterial small subunit ribosomal RNA
Source: RNAcentral
AUUGAACGCUGGCGGCGUGGAUAAGACAUGCAAGUCGAACGGGACCAGGUUUGUAGCAAUACAGGCUUGGUUCAGUGGCGAACGGGUGCGUAACACGUGAGCAAUCUGCCGGGAAGUGGGGGAUAGCUCGCCGAAAGGCGAAUUAAUACCGCAUGUGAUUAGAGAGGACAUCCUUUCGAAAUUAAAGUCGGGGCAACCUGACGCUUCUUGUGGGGCCCGCGGCCUAUCAGCUAGUUGGUGAGGUAACGGCUCACCAAGGCUUUGACGGGUAGCUGGUCUGAGAGGACGACCAGCCACACUGGGACUGAGACACGGCCCAGACACCUACGGGUGGCAGCAGUCGAGAAUUUUUGACAAUGGGGGAAACCCUGAUCGAGCGACGCCGCGUGGAGGAUGAAGGUCUUCGGAUUGUAAACUCCUGUCAUUUGGUAACAAGGUGCACACGUUAACUGCGUGCGUAUUGAUAGUACCAGAAGAGGAAGAGACGGCUAACUCUGUGC